This 200-nucleotide ribosomal RNA is filed under the name uncultured bacterium. RNAcentral's name for it is "partial 16S ribosomal RNA". It matches the Rfam family "Bacterial small subunit ribosomal RNA", at positions 30 to 239 of the family's 1533-position model. The record is from RNAcentral.
AUUGAACGCUGGCGGCAGGCCUAACACAUGCAAGUCGAGCGGGGUUUUUCGGACCUAGCGGCGGACGGGUGAGUAAUGCGUAGGAAGCUGCCCGAUAGAGGGGGGAUACCAGUUGGAAAACGACUGUUAAUACCGCAUAGUGUCUACGGACCAAAGUGUGGGACCUUCGGGCCACAUGCUAUCGGAUGCGCCUACGUGGG